Long non-coding RNA from Episyrphus balteatus (marmalade hoverfly), 763 nucleotides. RefSeq lists it as uncharacterized. The record is from RefSeq and is a predicted model, not a curated record. NCBI's taxonomy places the organism in Eukaryota, Metazoa, Arthropoda, Insecta, Diptera, Syrphidae. The transcript has 3 exons.
AGGGAGCUCUUCACCUCUAUCCAAAGCCACCGCGCCGCGCCGCGCACACCCAAUCAUGUCAGUUGUGAAAUGACGAAUGAACAAGAAAUAUACCUUCACAGGUUGUUUUUAUUAGCCAAAUCACCCCUUUAAAAACAAUACCAUUCCACACAAUUUAUUUCUCAUAGCUUAUCGUCUUCAAACUUUAAAUAUUCAUAUUUUAAUUUGUUUUCUUCAAUUCAAUGAUUUCUCUUUCUAAAUAUGAUAAAAGUUAGCUUGUCAGUAAGAUAAUUGAAUCGAACGAGGACGUCAGCAGUUCCUAAAACUUUUAACGCUUUAAAAAAAAAUAGAUAUGCAAAAAGGUUUUGUAUUAAAAAUAUUUGAUGCGCGAAGAAGGGCUGAACUGCAGAAAAAAUCAUUCGCAGGCAUAGAAAAUUUAACUGUCUUCACACGAAAAAGGUGUGACACACACCAAAUUCAUAAAAAAAAAAAUAAUAAACGCUAUAAACAAGACAAGACUGACUCAGCAUAUUGAGUAUUUUCGUAUGAAUUUUAAUAAACAAAAAGUAUCAACAUUUUAAACAAAAAAUACCAUUAGUUUCAGUGUUGUUCCCUACAUUUUAGUGAAGAAAACUAAGGGUAGACCAAAAACAUCUUGUAAAUACACAAUUCUCAGUUUAACUUCAAUAGAUUUCCACCAAGGUGGGUAGAUGAAGACAAAAAUAAAAAAAAAAAAAACACCCCUAAAAAGGACUUAAGACCGCUCAAGAACCAGCCAACAAAA